Felis catus (domestic cat) is the source of this 380-nucleotide long non-coding RNA. RefSeq lists it as uncharacterized. NCBI's taxonomy places the organism in Eukaryota, Metazoa, Chordata, Mammalia, Carnivora, Felidae. The record is from RefSeq and is a predicted model, not a curated record. The transcript is spliced from 3 exons.
GGUAAUUCUCCAAGAUCCUGUAACCCAAGUUCAAAACCUGCCUAAUGCUUUCACUUCCAGGGUCUCCUGAAAUAGUUGCUGACCCCGAACAGACAACUGUGGGAGCCACUUGUUCAGGAUUUUGCCCUCCAUGUACCCAUCACUCCACAAAGGCCCCGAUAUCCCUGCCCUAAAUGGGAGGAAGAAGAAGGACAAAUCAGUUCUGGCACUCAUCAGCCAUGUAACCUUGGAGGGAAGAAAAACAACUCCUCUAACAAUACAUCAGGCCUACGGAGGAGCCGGGCAAAGCGCUGGGGUACAAGCCGCAGUCAACUGAGUGUUCUCAACGCUGAACUCCAUGAACCUGCUUGGCAGGAGGUUCAUCCCGUGCAGCCUCCUGC